AGAUUGAACGCUGGCGGAAUGCUUUACACAUGCAAGUCGAGCGGCAGCGCGGGGCAACCUGGCGGCGAGCGGCGAACGGGUGAGUAAUGCAUCGGAACAUGUCCAUUCGUGGGGGAUAGCCCGGCGAAAGCCGGAUUAAUACCGCAUACGCCCUGAGGGGGAAAGCGGGGGACUUCGCGAAGAGGCCUCGCGCGAAUGGGUUGCCGAUGUCCGAUUAGCUAGUUGGUGGGUAAAGGCUUACCAAGGCGAUGAUCGGUAGCUGGUCUGAGAGGAUGAUCAGCCACACUGGGACUGAGACACGGCCCAGACUCCUACGGAGGCAGCAGUGGGGAAUUUGGACAAUGGGGGCAACCUGAUCCAGCCAUUCCGCGUGAGUGAAGAAGGCCUCGGUGUAAAGCUACUUUGCCGAAGUAAACGGUUAGACGUGAAUAUCGCUGACUACUUGACGGUUACCGGAAGAAGUAAGCGACCGG
This 473-nucleotide ribosomal RNA is filed under the name uncultured soil bacterium. RNAcentral's name for it is "bacterial SSU rRNA". It matches the Rfam family "Bacterial small subunit ribosomal RNA", at positions 26 to 497 of the family's 1533-position model. The record is from RNAcentral.